CACAGAGAAGAGGGAGUGGCAGAGAGAGUAAGAGUUAAGAGUGUGAGAGUGUGAGAGUGUGAAUGUGUGGGUGAGUGUGAGUGAGAGUGCGCAUACUUGUGUAAUAUUUCUGAAAUUAAUAAAAGUUCGGCCUAUCUCACCCAAAUCAAAGUAUACGAGUUAGUGUUCAGGAGAGCUCCUAUAAGUGGUAUUGGAGCACCUAUAAGUGGUACCACGGCUCCUACAAUUGGUAUUGGAGCGGGUCGAUUAGGGACCGAGAUACCGCGGAAGGGUCAACGUUAGUCUUAGUGUGAGUUCCGUCAGGGACCGAGGUGCAACUGAAGUGAGGACGGUCAGGGAUCGCUGCUAAGGGGAGACUCCACCGGAGUUGAGUCGGUGAGGAACGAGACUCAAAUGAGGUUCUGUCAAAGUCAAGAAAUCGGUCAGAGAUCGAGGGGAGAUGUUGCGAGCAACCAAGUCAGGGACUAUGAGUUAUUGGUAUGGGACCAUCGCGAGCAUGUGAGGAGGCUAAGUGACAAGUAUGGUGGAGUUCAAUAUGAUACGACUCCGGGUCAAACUAACAAGCUUAGGUCGGAAGGACUUCGAACCAGUGAUGAUGAAUUGCACAUUCUAACCAGACCGAUUACGAGAGCACGUGCCCAGCAACUUCAACAGACCAUGCAAGGAUUGGUGCUACGCAUUCUCGAUGAACCAUCGACGGGGAUACAUGUCAGGAAUGUGAACAUUAUACAAGUCCAGCUCGAAUAUGACCAGAUCACAAGUUUGAGCCCGAGAAUCAUGGAGGAACAAGUGCCGGGUCCCACUACCACACUUAAGUGCAUAAAUUCGGUGGUAAAAUACCUGAUUUGACUUGAGUGGGUACUUCAUUUAUUGCCACCUACAUUUUGGACGAAUUUUGGAGGAAUGUGACAGAUUUCUUCUCAUGCAAUAACAAGAAGACUCCCAACUACCUUCAUUUAAUAGUCUUCUCUUUUCUAUGUUGUUUUCUCUUUCCCAUGCUUGGGAAUUGUUGUUUUGACUUUUAUUCUCUAGGAAUUAUCUGAUGGUGAAGAGCUUUACAUAAACUCCAUUAGGUCAUUAGGGUGAGGGGAUUAUUUUUUUUAGAAUAUUGUGAGAAUUUUCUCUAAGUUGUUCUUGGGCAACUUUUCGAGAUUGUAAGCUUGGAUGCUUGUAAUUCUCAGCUUAUUAUAAUAUUGGUUCUUGGUUUUCUAUAAUCAUCGGGUCAAUAUUCCAUUUCUUUAUAAUAUUGGUUCUUGGUUUUCUAUAACCAUCGGGUUAGUAUUCCAUCUCUCUUAACCUCUAUUGGCGAUCCGGGUUCAAUUUUCAAUCUUUGUUGUCGGGUCUUGCAGCAGGUCUCGUGGGGUUCGCAUCACAAUACAAUCGCCAAUAUAAAGAAAUUAAACAACUUGGAUUACAGCACGUGAAAAACGUGUAUGGAGUCAUACUUGUUGGGCCAAGAUAUCUGGGAGAUCGUUGGCGACAGUGAGACCACCCACUGAUGAUACCGCCGCUCUUAGGAAAUAGAAGAUCAAGGCCGGGAAGGCCAUGUUCGCGAUUAAGGUCUCAGUCGAGGAGGACAUGCUGGAACAUAGCAGAUAUUGGAGUUGGGUCCCGAGUCAAAAAUUAAUGAAGGAAGGAUGCGAAAGAUAAUUAUUCAUGGAUUAAGGCCCGAGUAUAGGAGUUUUAUUGUCGCAGUUCAGGGGUGGCCAGUCCAACCAUCCGUGGAGGACCUGGAGAAUCUUCCUGCUAAUCAGGAGACUCUAGGACAAUAAAUGGCCGGAAUUUCUUUGAAAAGCGAGGAGAAAGCUUUAUAUAGCAGUAAGAAGAGAAACGACAGACAGACGCUCCAUGAGAAGAGCUUCCAAGUAGGGGGAGCUCGUCGGGACCAAGACCACAGAGGCCAAGAAAGUGAAGGCCAAGAGUACGGGUCUAGGAGGCCCAACUUAAUCUGCUAUAAUUGCAACAAGUGAGGGCAUUACGCUUGGGAUUGUAGAUUGAUGAAGAAAGUUACUUAAGGUAACACGGCAAUAAAGGCCCAUAAAGAUAAUGAAUAUUGGGAUGAGGAUGAGAUGGAGUAAUUCCAGGAAAAGGAGGUAAUUACAGCGUCAACUAUAGCAGCGAAGGACACAGAGCAGCUUGCACUAGCAGUGCCGAAGUCCAAUGGAGUCGAUUACAACGAAGAUUGGAUCAUCGACUAUGGGUGUUCCAACCACAUGACCAGCGACGAAAGAAAGCUUCGGAGUACAUCAACCUAUAGAGGAAACAAUGUCAUCGUGUUGGCAGACAACACCAAGCUACCAAUUGCCAACAUUGGAAAGGCUGAGAUUUCUCCAAAGCUCAACUCUAUGAAGUUGCAGCUACGGAAUGCCUACCAUGUCCCUAGAAAAGAAUCUACUUUCAGUGGCACAAUUGACAUCAAUCGGCAAUUAUGUGGAGUUUGGCACAAAGGAUGUGAAAGUGUAUCGGAAUAUGAGAUUUUUCGGUACACCAAUUAUGGAAGGUAGGCGGAAGAAUUCUGUCUAUGUUAUGUCAGCAGAGAAGAGUUACGUACACAAUGUAUAGAAAAAUAAAACUGCAGACUUAUACAUGCAUGUCUCGAACAUGUAAAUUAUCGUAAGUUGAAGGUGAUGAUGAAUAAGUCGAUGCUGAGGGAUUGCCUCAACUCAAGGUGCAUGAAGAUAUAGUCUAUCCAGGAUGCUAGUACCGGAAGGCCCAUCAACUGCCCUACAAGGAGUCUUGGCCAUAGCAAAGGAACCGUUGGAGCUUAUCCACUCAAAUGUGUUCAAACGAGUGAAUGAACCAUCUAUCGGAGGCAUGAGCUUAUCCAUUCAACUGUCCAGGUACGUUUGGGUUUACUUUAUGAAAGAAAAGUCUGAGACUCUGACAAAGUUUAAGGAGUUUAAGGAGAAGGUCGAGGGGAGACUGGUAGGAAGAUAAAGUGUUUGGCAGACAGACAACGGGAGUGAAUAUACAUCCCAGGAGUUCACGGAUUAUCUAUGCCAGUAUAAGAGCCGCGGGCAAUUGACGAAACCAAGUACCCCAAAGAAAAAUGGGGUGGCAGAAAAGAAGAAUCGGCAUCUUGCAGAAGUAUGCCGAAAAAUUGUUGCAUGCCAAGCAUGUACCCAGCAAAUUAUAGGCGGAGUGCAUGAAGACAGCUGCGCACAUCAUGAACAGGCUUCCUCAACCGAAGUUGGGAUUCGUCUCGCAUAUCAGAAGUUAUGGAAGGUCAAACCACAGUGAGUCAUUUUCGAGUUUUUGGGUACGUUUGCUAUGUAUUCGUGUCUGAUCAUUUGAGGAGCAAGUUUGACAAGAAAGCGGUCAAAUGAAUAUUCACGCUUUAUGACAGCGAGAGAAAAAGAUGUAGAUGUUAUGACCCAAACACGAACAAAAUCUAUGUCUCAAGGAACGUGAUAUUUGAUGAAUCCUCAUCUUGGUGGGUCUCGAAGCAUGUAUUCUUCCCCGAGUCCGAGGCAAGACAGGAUUCGGAAGAAGAGAAGAUGGGGGAGCAACUAGAAGAAGAGGAAGUUCAAGAUUCAUAACCACCAAUUCGGUCGCCUAAAAGGAAGGCGAUUCCUUGGAAAACUGGUGUGUAUCGAAGGUCACAAGAACCAGAGACUUCGCGAGAAGAGGAGUUAAAGGAACAGCCCCAACUGCAGCUAAGAAGAUCAAGCAGACUAAGGAAGUCGAAUCCCAAAUACGUUAGUGUGGCUCUUGUUCAAGCAAAUGACCAUCAGCGCAGAAUACCUCGACAUAAAGAGUUAGUGUUGAGAGGAGUGUUAGAAAUCGACACUAAUCGAGAGUUCUUUAGAGUGAUUAUUAUCUAGACUUUUUAUUACUCUUCAAGAUUCUAUAUAGAUACAUUAGGGUCUAGGAUUGUAUGGAAAAAUCUAGGGGCAGAAAUCUAGAUAUAGUAUAAGGACCAAAGUAGAAUAACUUA
Molecule: non-coding RNA, 3937 nt
Organism: Punica granatum (pomegranate)
Lineage: Eukaryota; Viridiplantae; Streptophyta; Magnoliopsida; Myrtales; Lythraceae
Source: RefSeq, a predicted model, not a curated record